GGGAACCUGUAUUUUCCGUAUAAUGACUAGUCCUGUGUUUUUGUUCCAAAAUGAUGUGUGAGGUGAUGCCCACCAUCAGUGAAGAAGGCCCUUCAGGAGGAAGUGAAAACCAUGGAUCUGGCUGCCCUUCACAACCAGAUGCAGAUUCCCAUUUUGAACAGCACAUGAUGUCCAUGCUAGAAGAAACAGACAUUGCUCAGAGCACACUGAUAGAGACUCAAGAAACAUUGGCGUUGACCCAGGGGAAAUUACUCGAGGUUGGUCAUGAGAGAGAUUCGUUGCAGAGACAACUCAAUACUGCGCUUCCACAGGAGUUUUCAACGCUUGCAAAAGAGCUCAACAUUUGCAGGGAACAGCUGCUUGAGAAGGAAAAAGAAAUUGCUGAACUCAAAGCAGAAAGGAACAACAUGAGGCUGUUCCUGGAACAUCUGGAGUUCCUUGUCUCCAGGCAUGAACGCUCUCUCGAAACGACUGUGAUGAAGCGGCAGGCGCGGUGUCCUGCAGGAGUGUCCACAGAGAUGGAAGUGCUAAAAGCACUGACAUUCUUAUUUGACCACCACAAGACCCUGGACGAAGAAGUGCGAGAGCAAUUACGUGUAGCACUGCAAAGGUGCAGCUUGCUGGAAGAGGAACUGGGCGCUACGCACAAGGAGCUAAUGACUCUUAAAAAACAGAAUAAUGAGAAAAAAUCACCAAGAGAUGGAGUGCUUGACCAUGAACAAGAAGAAACACCAAGCACUAGUGGAAAGUUGCUAGCUUGCAGAGAAGAAGAACGAGAUGACAAGACAACGAUAAAAUGUGAAACUUCCCCUCUCUCCUCUCCGAAGUCCCUUCAGCUAGACAGGCUGCACACAGGGGCGUUGCAAAUAGUCAGCCACGAGGACAUCAGGGACAUGCAAAAAUCAAAAAGUGCCCAGGAUGGUCCUGUGAGCAAUCCCAGUAGCAGUGACAGCAGGCAGGACUCGCCCCACAAAGCCCCAAAGAAGAAGGGCAUCAAGUCCUCCAUUGGUCGUUUGUUUGGCAAAAAGGAAAAGGGUCGGCCUGGACAAACUGGCAAAGAAUCACCAGGACAAGAAACCUCAUCUCAGGAUGCGUUCCGACUUAGCAAAUUGGGAGGAAAGGCUGAAAAAAAUCGAAACUUUCAAAAAAACUCAACAGGCUCCCAGGAAGGUCCUGUGAACAAUCCCAGUACCAGUGACAGCAGGCAGGACGCGCUCCACAAAGCCUCAAAGAAGAAGAGCAUCAAGUCCUCCACUGGUCGUUUGUUUGGCAAAAAGAAAAAGGGUCCGCCUGGACAAACUGGCAAAGAAUCACCAAGACAAGGUGUCCAGUGCCCACAAGGAAUCAUGGCUGAGCAUUCUCCAGACAGCCCAGUCUGCCCACAUGUGAACCAGAGCAGAGCAGUGGACAUUCAUUUGGCGUGA
Molecule: long non-coding RNA, 1424 nt
Filed under: Cavia porcellus (domestic guinea pig)
Lineage: Eukaryota; Metazoa; Chordata; Mammalia; Rodentia; Caviidae
Description: lncRNA (ENSCPOG00000026754.2)
Source: RNAcentral